GUGCCAGCAGCCGCGGUAAGACAGAGGGUGCAAACGUUGCUCGGAAUUACUGGGCGUAAAGCGCGUGUAGGUGGUCACCCCAGUCGGAUGUGAAAGCCCAGGGCUCAACCCUGGACGUGCAUACGAUACUAGGUGGCUGGAGUCUCGGAGAGGAUAGCGGAAUUCCCGGUGUAGAGGUGAAAUUCGUAGAUAUCGGGAGGAACACCAGUGGCGAAGGCGGCUAUCUGGACGAGUACUGACACUGAGACGCGAAAGCAUGGGGAGCAAACAGGAUUAGAUACCCCCGUAGUCC
RNAcentral lists this ribosomal RNA (292 nucleotides) under uncultured bacterium. RNAcentral's name for it is "partial 16S ribosomal RNA". It matches the Rfam family "Bacterial small subunit ribosomal RNA", at positions 505 to 796 of the family's 1533-position model. The record is from RNAcentral.